Long non-coding RNA from Stylophora pistillata, 175 nucleotides. The record is from RefSeq and is a predicted model, not a curated record. Lineage: Eukaryota; Metazoa; Cnidaria; Anthozoa; Scleractinia; Pocilloporidae.
UUCUGAUAUAUUCAAGCGCUUCAAGUUAAUCGAUCUGUGGCUGGGGAACAACAACAUCAAAAAGUUACCUGAAGACUUGUUUGCUGAGCAGGAUAAGCUUAGAUAUCUGCGAUUGAGCGGCAAUCAGCUAGAAAAGCUACCACGCAACAUUUUUAUUGAUUUGUCAGCCUUGGAA